This 44-nucleotide non-coding RNA is filed under the name Amorphochlora amoebiformis. The record is from RNAcentral. Lineage: Eukaryota; Cercozoa; Chlorarachniophyceae.
ACUGGGUGAAUUAGAGCUAAAUCUCCUAAAAAAAUCUUGAAAAC